RNAcentral lists this ribosomal RNA (253 nucleotides) under uncultured bacterium. RNAcentral describes it as "partial 16S ribosomal RNA". It matches the Rfam family "Bacterial small subunit ribosomal RNA", at positions 524 to 776 of the family's 1533-position model. The record is from RNAcentral.
UACAGAGGGUGCGAGCGUUGUCCGGAAUUACUGGGCGUAAAGCGCACGUAGGCGGCUACUCAAGUCAGAGGUGAAAGCCCGGGGCUCAACCCCGGAACUGCCUUUGAAACUAGGUAGCUAGAAUCCUGGAGAGGUCAGUGGAAUUCCGAGUGUAGAGGUGAAAUUCGUAGAUAUUCGGAAGAACACCAGUGGCGAAGGCGACUUACUGGACACAUAUUGACGCUGAGGUGCGAAAGCGUGGGGAGCAAACAGG